Molecule: long non-coding RNA, 552 nt
Organism: Prionailurus viverrinus (fishing cat)
Lineage: Eukaryota; Metazoa; Chordata; Mammalia; Carnivora; Felidae
Exons: 3
Source: RefSeq, a predicted model, not a curated record
GCUGACACGAAAUGGCGAGACAGAGUCCUGAGCGGCCCCAGAAGCAGGAAAAACGUGCCCCCUGAAGACGCAGGAAGCUGUUAUGGAAGGAGGUAUGGUUCCAAGAGAGUCGGAGGCGUCCACGUUCAGCCCUCGGCUCUGCCUCAUUUGCCGUCUCAGGGGCUCAGCUCCCUGGGCUGGGGGCGACCGGUCCCUCCUGCAGGGUGUCCUGAGGAGACAGGGUGAUGGGAGACGUUCGCAGAGGACCCGGCACAUAGCAGUCUGUUACAGAAUCUGCUCAGUGAGGAAGGGAAGAGAAACCGAGCCGGUCGGGCCUCCUCCUCGGAACCUUUGUGAGGCCAGCUGGCCGGAGGGAAGCGGCCUUAGGUUGGGGGCGAUGCCGGGGCCCCAGCAGCUCCAAGAGCAGGCAGAACCCUGUUCUUGGAGAAGUUCGCGUUCCGCUGCGAAGCUCAGCUGCCAGGUCCACCGAAUGUGCGGACGUUAGAAGUCGCACAAGAGGGGUGCCUGGGUGGCGCAGUCGGUUAAGCAUCCGACUUCAGCCAGGUCACGAUC